This 301-nucleotide ribosomal RNA is filed under the name uncultured bacterium. Its description in RNAcentral is "partial 16S ribosomal RNA". It matches the Rfam family "Bacterial small subunit ribosomal RNA", at positions 509 to 807 of the family's 1533-position model. The record is from RNAcentral.
CAGUAGCCGCGGGAAUACGAAGGGGGCUAGCGUUGUUCGGAAUUACUGGGCGUAAAGGGCGCGUAGGCGGCCAUUCAAGUUAGAUGUGAAAGCCCUGGGCUCAACCUAGGGAUUGCAUUUGAUACUGUUUGGCUUGAGUUCGGGAGAGGUGAGUGGAAUUCCCAGUGUAGAGGUGAAAUUCGUAGAUAUUCGGAAGAACACCAGUGGCGAAGGCGGCUCACUGGACCAGUAUUGACGCUGAGGUGCGAAAGCGUGGGGAGCAAACAGGAUUAGAUACCCCUGUAGUCCCUGUCUCUUAUAC